RNAcentral lists this ribosomal RNA (520 nucleotides) under uncultured bacterium. RNAcentral describes it as "bacterial SSU rRNA". It matches the Rfam family "Bacterial small subunit ribosomal RNA", at positions 8 to 542 of the family's 1533-position model. The record is from RNAcentral.
AGAGUUUGAUCCUGGCUCAGGACGAACGCUGGCGGCGCGCCUAAUGCAUGCAAGUCGAACGGUCCCUUGGCCUUCGGGCCUAUGGGAUAGUGGCAAACGGCUGAGUAACGCGUAAGGGAUCUGACCCCGGGUGGGGGAUAACCCAUCGAAAGGUGGGCUAAUACCCCGUACGCUCUCCCGCUGCAUGGCGGGAGUGGAAAGCCUUUGGACGCCCGGGGAGGGCCUUGCGUCCUAUCAUGGUUGUUGGCGGGGUAACGGCCCACCAAGCCUAAGACGGGUAACCGGUGUGAGAGCAUGAACGGUCAGAGGGGGACUGAGACACGGCCCCCACUCCUACGGGAGGCAGCAGCAGGGAAUUUUGCGCAAUGGGCGAAAGCCUGACGCAGCGACGCCGCGUGGGGGAAGAAGGCCUUCGGGUUGUAAAUCCCUUUUCUGGGGGAAGAGAAUGGACGGUACCCCAGGAAUAAGCCCCGGCUAACUACGUGCCAGCAGCCGCGGUAAUACGUAGGGGGCAAGCGUU